UGCCAGCCGCCGCGGUAAUACGUAAGUCGCAAGCGUUAUCCGGAUUUACUGGGUGUAAAGGGAGCGCAGGCGGUUGGGUAAGUCAGAGGUGAAAUGUCGGAGCUUAACUCCGGCCCUGCCUUUGAUACUGCUCAUCUUGAGUGUUGGAGAGGACAGCGGAAUUCCAGGUGUAGCGGUGGAAUGCGUAGAUAUCUGGAAGAACAUCAGUUGCGAAGGCGGCUGUCUGGCCAAACACUGACGCUGAGGCUCGAAAGCUAGGGGAGCGAACAGGAUUAGAUA
Molecule: ribosomal RNA, 279 nt
Filed under: uncultured bacterium
Lineage: Bacteria
Description: partial 16S ribosomal RNA
Rfam family: Bacterial small subunit ribosomal RNA
Source: RNAcentral